UUUAAUUUUUUGGGGAUUUUUUUGGGAUUUUUUGGGAAUUUUGGGGGAAUUUUUUGAGAUUUUUUUGGGAUUUUUUGGGAUUUUUUUGGGGAUUUUUAUCAGAUUUUAUGGGAUUUUUAAGGGAUUUUUUUUGGUAUACUAAUGGGAAUUUUCUG
Molecule: long non-coding RNA, 155 nt
Filed under: Zonotrichia albicollis (white-throated sparrow)
Lineage: Eukaryota; Metazoa; Chordata; Aves; Passeriformes; Passerellidae
Description: lncRNA (ENSZALG00000006237.1)
Source: RNAcentral